Molecule: long non-coding RNA, 633 nt
Filed under: Equus caballus (horse)
Lineage: Eukaryota; Metazoa; Chordata; Mammalia; Perissodactyla; Equidae
Description: lncRNA (ENSECAG00000032028.2)
Source: RNAcentral
GGCUGCUUGGUGGUGAGGAGGCUGGAGUUGGCCUCGGGGUGAAGCAGAGAGACCAGCUAAGAGGGCGCUGCCCAGUAAUCCUGGUGACAGAUGGUGGGCCCUGUGGGUGAAGUCUGUGUGCGCUUCUUGUCCUGCAGAGGGAACAAGCAGGACGAGGAGGAGAACCAGGUCCACUGGACAACGGACAGUGAUUGUGGCCUCAAGAUCCAAUCACUCAGAGAGAGGUGCGAGGGAACUCAGCUCCAGGUUUUUCUUGGUUGUGCUCUCUUCCUGAAGCCCUCUGUGGUGUCAGCCAGUCAUGGAUAAACGAGACUCUGAAGUGAAGCCCAGCACCCCGACACUGCGCAUCAGGAGGAAGGCAGAUGAAUACCUAAAACCCACCCUGGUCUACAAAAACGUGCUGAGCUUUUUACUCGGUAGGCAGCUAGGGGGGCACAAAAACGAUGUGCAUCUGUCACGGUGGCUGUGGAUGUUGACACAAACCACACCAGAGUGGAGCUGGCCUUUGCCAAAAAGUCCUGUGGGUAACCCACCUGUUCUCCUUGGGGAUUAUGAAAAAUCCCAGAAAAUGAUGUGGAUCAACAAAUCCUUCCCCUGAUAGAAGCAUUAAAAUUGAAGCUAUGUUUUCACGUC